CCUGGACAAGAGCAGAGCAGAAGCUUGCUACAUCGUCUUUUAUCAGAAGAGGAUUCAUGAUCCAUUUCAAGGUUGCUCUGGACAGAGCGAGCUUUAAUCCUCCUUGAUAAUCUUGUUAAGAGGUACCCCUGAAGAUGACCACUUCCAGCCUUCCAGUUAUCUUUUCUCCAUUGCUAAACUGGAUUGCUCAGGACAGGUAUGUUAUACCCACACACCAAACAAACUUUUUGAGGUUUGGGGAGAUGCAUCACUGCGGAUUCUCUCGUAUUGCAAAAAAAGAAGAGAGCCUUGGAUCUACCAGUUCAAGCAAACAUUUCAUCUGACAGCCCUGGAGAUCCCACUUUGGAGAUGUCGCUUUAACAACUCAGCCAGCUAUCAUUUCUUCACUGCCAUACAGAUUGUGCAGCAAGAUGGUUCGGCCCUCAUACACUGAAAAAAGUGUUGCAUGCAAAACUGUUGCAAACAAUUUAUUUGUGUUGAAUUUAAACAAACAAAUUAAAUUUAAUAAUGUUCAACUUGAUUUGUUGGUUUAAAUUCAGCCCAAAUAAAUUGUUUACAACCACUUAACGUAAAAAAAUUGAGUAAAUCCAAGGAAUCAUCUUUGAAUAAUUUUUUUCAGUGUACCAGGAGGCAAAACAAGAAUUUGUUGAUUUGCGAAUUCUAGGUGCAUUAUUUAUGACAAAUGUUGGACAUUAUUUAAUUCAUGUGUGUAUACUUGUAUUUCGUUCAGUACUUAGAGGAGGAGGAGCAACAGAGACAGAACCCUCUUGUCCUGCUGCUUGGGGAUGAACUAAACUGCUCUCAGGCGUUUGUUAUUGUGAAAGAUGUGGCACUAAAUUCAUGGAUUUAAAUAAAGC
This is a long non-coding RNA of Danio aesculapii, 857 nucleotides long. RefSeq lists it as uncharacterized. The record is from RefSeq and is a predicted model, not a curated record. Lineage: Eukaryota; Metazoa; Chordata; Actinopteri; Cypriniformes; Danionidae. The transcript is spliced from 5 exons.